GUGCCAGCAGCCGCGGUAAUACGUAGGUGGCAAGCGUUGUCCGGAUUUAUUGGGCGUAAAGCGAGCGCAGGCGGUCUUUUAAGUCUGAUGUGAAAGCCCCCGGCUUAACCGGGGAGGGGUCAUUGGAAACUGGGAGACUUGAGUGCAGAAGAGGAAAGCGGAAUUCCAUGUGUAGCGGUGAAAUGCGUAGAUAUAUGGAGGAACACCAGUGGCGAAGGCGGCUUUCUGGUCUGUAACUGACGCUGAGGCUCGAAAGCGUGGGGAGCAAACAGGAUUAGAUACCCUGGUAGUCC
RNAcentral lists this ribosomal RNA (293 nucleotides) under uncultured microorganism. Its description in RNAcentral is "partial 16S ribosomal RNA". It matches the Rfam family "Bacterial small subunit ribosomal RNA", at positions 505 to 796 of the family's 1533-position model. The record is from RNAcentral.